AUGGGGAAACAGACACACAUGGGGACACUGGGAGACAUGGGGACACAGACACUAGGGACACAAUGUCCCCAAGUGUCUCAGUGUCCCUAUGUCUCCCAGCCAGUGUCCCUGGUGUCUCAGUGUCCCCAUGUCUCCCAAUGUCCCUAGUGUCUGUUUUCCCAUG
Molecule: microRNA precursor, 163 nt
Filed under: Pelobates cultripes (western spadefoot toad)
Lineage: Eukaryota; Metazoa; Chordata; Amphibia; Anura; Pelobatidae
Source: RNAcentral